RNAcentral lists this ribosomal RNA (340 nucleotides) under uncultured eukaryote. RNAcentral describes it as "partial 18S ribosomal RNA". It matches the Rfam family "Eukaryotic small subunit ribosomal RNA", at positions 1470 to 1796 of the family's 1831-position model. The record is from RNAcentral.
CCCUUAGAUGUUCGGGGCCGCACGCGCGCUACACUGAAGGACUCAGCGUGUCUCUCCCCCUAUCCCGAAAGGGAUGGGCAACCCGUUGAACCUCCUUCGUGCUAGGGAUUGGGGUUUGCAAUUAUCCCCCAUGAACGAGGAAUUCCCAGUAAGCGCGAGUCAUCAGCUCGCGUUGAUUACGUCCCUGCCCUUUGUACACACCGCCCGUCGCUACUACCGAUUGGAUGGUUUAGUGAGACCCUCGGAUCGGUCCCGACUCGGGGUGGGCUUCUGCCCCGGUCGUGGUUUCGCCGAGAAGACGGUCAAACUUGACUAUCUAGAGGAAGAAAAAGUCGUAACA